CCUACGGGUGGUAGCAGUGGGGGAUCUUGGACAAUGGGGGAAACCCUGAUCCAGCGACGCCGCGUGAGUGAAGGAGUAUUUCGGUAUGUAAAGCUCUGUCAGCAGGGAAGCAAGAAAUGACGGUACCUGACCAAGAAGCCCCGGCUAACUACGUGCCAGCAGCAGCGGUAAUACGUAGGGGGCAAGCGUUAUCCGGAGUUACUGGGUGUAAAGGGAGCGUAGACGGUGAUGCAAGUCUGGAGUGAAAGGCGGGGGCCCAACCCCCGGACUGCUCUGGAAACUGUGUAACUUGAGUGCAGGAGAGGGAAGCGGAAUUCCUAGUGUAGCGGUGAAAUGCGUAGAUAUUAGGAGGAACACUAGUGGCGAAGGCGGCUUACUGGACUGUAACUGACGUUGAGGCUCGAAAGCGUGGGGAGCAAACAGGAUUAGAUACCCCGGUAGUC
This 443-nucleotide ribosomal RNA is filed under the name uncultured bacterium. RNAcentral describes it as "partial 16S ribosomal RNA". It matches the Rfam family "Bacterial small subunit ribosomal RNA", at positions 338 to 795 of the family's 1533-position model. The record is from RNAcentral.